CAGUAGCUCAGUGGUAGAGCAAUCGGCUGUUAACCGAUCGGUCGUAGGUUCGAGUCCUACCUG
Molecule: transfer RNA, 63 nt
Filed under: uncultured Sporosarcina sp.
Lineage: Bacteria; Bacillati; Bacillota; Bacilli; Caryophanales; Caryophanaceae
Also listed under: 1 other name
Rfam family: tRNA
About the family: Transfer RNA (tRNA) molecules are approximately 80 nucleotides in length.
Source: RNAcentral